CCUACGGGAGGCAGCAGUGAGGAAUAUUGGUCAAUGGACGAGAGUCUGAACCAGCCAAGUAGCGUGAAGGAUGACUGCCCUAUGGGUUGUAAACUUCUUUUAUAUGGGAAUAAAAUGUUCCACGUGUGGGAUUUUGUAUGUACCAUAUGAAUAAGGAUCGGCUAACUCCGUGCCAGCAGCCGCGGUAAUACGGAGGAUGCGAGCGUUAUCCGGAUUUAUUGGGUUUACAGGGAGCGUAGGUGGAUUGUUAAGUCAGUUGUGAAAGUUUGCGGCUCAACCGUAAAAUUGCAGUUGAAACUGGCAGUCUUGAGUACAGUAGAGGUGGGCGGAAUUCGUGGUGUAGCGGUGAAAUGCUUAGAUAUCACGAAGAACUCCGAUUGCGAAGGCAGUUCACUGGACUGCAACUGACACUGAGGCUCGAAAGUGUGGGUAUCAAACAGGAUUAGAUACCCUUGUAGUC
RNAcentral lists this ribosomal RNA (460 nucleotides) under uncultured bacterium. Its description in RNAcentral is "partial 16S ribosomal RNA". It matches the Rfam family "Bacterial small subunit ribosomal RNA", at positions 338 to 795 of the family's 1533-position model. The record is from RNAcentral.